GUGGAGGCAGCAGUGAGGAAUCUUGCGCAAUGGGCGAAAGCCUGACGCAGCGACGCCGCGUGCGGGAUGACGGUCUUCGGAUUGUAAACCGCUUUUCUCGAGGACGACAAUGACGGUACUCGAGGAAUCAGCCCCGGCUAACUCCGUGCCAGCAGCCGCGGUAAGACGGAGGGGGCAAGCGUUGUCCGGAAUUACUGGGCGUAAAGAGCGCGUAGGCGGUCGCGUACGGCGGUGGUGAAAGCUCCCGGCUCAACUGGGAGAGGCCCGCCGCAACGGCGUGACUCGAGGGUGGUAGAGGCGGAUGGAAUUCCUGGUGUAACGGUGAAAUGUGUAGAGAUCAGGAGGAACACCCGUGGCGAAGGCGGUCCGCUGGGCCAUGCCUGACGCUGAGGCGCGAAAGCUAGGGGAGUGAACGGGAUUAGAUACCCGAGUAGUCU
RNAcentral lists this ribosomal RNA (437 nucleotides) under uncultured bacterium. RNAcentral describes it as "bacterial SSU rRNA". It matches the Rfam family "Bacterial small subunit ribosomal RNA", at positions 342 to 796 of the family's 1533-position model. The record is from RNAcentral.